RNAcentral lists this ribosomal RNA (497 nucleotides) under uncultured bacterium. RNAcentral describes it as "partial 16S ribosomal RNA". It matches the Rfam family "Bacterial small subunit ribosomal RNA", at positions 28 to 507 of the family's 1533-position model. The record is from RNAcentral.
GAUGAACGCUGGCGGCGUGCCUAAUACAUGCAAGUCGAGCGAACAGACGAGGAGCUUGCUCCUCUGACGUUAGCGGCGGACGGGUGAGUAACACGUGGAUAACCUACCUAUAAGACUGGGAUAACUUCGGGAAACCGGAGCUAAUACCGGAUAAUAUAUUGAACCGCAUGGUUCAAUAGUGAAAGACGGUUUUGCUGUCACUUAUAGAUUGAUCCGCGCCGCAUUAGCUAGUUGGUAAGGUAACGGCUUACCAAGGCAACGAUGCGUAGCCGACCUGAGAGGGUGAUCGGCCACACUGGAACUGAGACACGGUCCAGACUCCGACGGGAGGCAGCAGUAGGGAAUCUUCCGCAAUGGGCGAAAGCCUGACGGAGCAACGCCGCGUGAGUGAUGAAGGUCUUCGGAUCGUAAAACUCUGUUAUUAGGGAAGAACAAAUGUGUAAGUACCUAUGCACGUCUUGACGGUACCUAAUCAGAAAGCCACGGCUAACUACGUG